RNAcentral lists this long non-coding RNA (1333 nucleotides) under Ananas comosus (pineapple). Its description in RNAcentral is "long non-coding RNA (ACOM_LNC024951)". The record is from RNAcentral. Lineage: Eukaryota; Viridiplantae; Streptophyta; Magnoliopsida; Poales; Bromeliaceae.
AUACACUAGUAAAACUCUCACGAAAACAAGUUAAAAAUAAAAAAAAAUCAUGCUUUUAUUUAGGGACCAUUUGGUUAGAUGUAAUUAUAAAUGCAGUGUAGUUAAUAAUGUAUGCAGUUGAAAAUACAACAAUUAGAACUACACGAAUCUUGUUUAGUUGGAUGUAGUAGAAAGCGCUGUAAGUAUAAAUAAUUUGUUUGGUUGCAUGCAGUUGAGAAAUAAUUUUUAAAAUUUUAUUAUUUUAUAUAUAUGAUGGUGAGAUUACCUCCAAUGCAAAAAAAAAAAUAUUUGUUUGAAAAAUAUUGGGGAGGUAAGUAUACUUUUUAUUUAAAGUUACUCACUCCAACUGCUGUAGUUGGAACUACUGCCAAUUUAGGCGUAGUUCGAACUGCUACAGUUGGGCCUCCUCCUGCAGUUUCUACUGCAGCAUUUAGAGUUAAAUACAUCAAACCAAAUACGAAAUUUAUAUUUAUAUACAGUUAUAACUGUAAUAUAGUUGCAACUACAUGCAACCAAAUGACCUCUUAGUACAGGAGUAGUAUUCUUAACAUAGAAAUUUAAACUCAAAACCCCUAAUUUGAUGGAGAAGGGGCUAUUCAUCUACACCAAUUAAGUAUAAGUACAGUGCACAGGUAGCCUAAAAGAGAAGCCCAACUCUCCCUCUCACUCAAAUUGAUAGCAGGCCCAUCUCUUCUUCAGCCAGAAAUGCCCAAGAAAAUGGAGCUUUUUUUUUUGAGAGAGAGAGAUAAGGUAGCAUACUAUCCGUUUCGGUUAUUUCAUUUAGAAAUAAAUUUAGCCAGAAAUAUGAAUCAACUAGAAUUCAAACUUGAGAUUUCGAAUACCAACCACCAAACCUUUUGCCAUUUACGCUAGAGACAGUAGGUAAAAAAAUAGAGCUUUGGGUUAGAGCCCCACUGGAGUAGGGCUGUCAACAAGGCGCACAUUAGUGAACUGACUUGUUAAACUAUCGAGCUGAAAAAUUUAGUUUCUUUCUAAUUUGUUUACUAACGAAUUGAAUAUAAGUUAGCCAAUGAACAGUAAAUUAGAGCGUCAGCCAUAAUACUAGGUAAAAAGUUGGAAGAAAAUAAAAAAAAAUAAAAUUUUAAUCUAAUAAUUGAAAUUCACAAAAUAUAGGCCUUUUUAUAUUUGGAUUGAUCUAAAAUUCAAAUAGUAAAAUAAUAUUGAUCUAAAAGCUAGUAGUAACUAAGAUAGUUGAUCAAAAAAUAAAAAAAUCGAAAGUAGAAAAGAACUAAUACUUCUAGAAGCAUUCUAGUUCAUUCUUGUAUAUAUAUUCGAGUUAUAUCAAGCAGAACACGUGUAAACUAAUUUUAGC